CUGCGGAAGGAUCAUUAGUGAACAUAGGACGUCCAACUUAACUUGGAGUCCGAACUCUCACUUUCUAACCCUGUGCACUUGUUUGGGAUAGUAGUCGACCUAGUCGACGAACUCCUAUUCACUUAUAAACACAAAGUCUAUGAAUGUAUUUAAUUUUAUAACAAAAUAAAACUUUCAACAACGGAUCUCUUGGCUCUCGCAUCGAUGAAGAACGCAGCGAAAUGCGAUAAGUAAUGUGAAUUGCAGAAUUCAGUGAAUCAUCGAAUCUUUGAACGCACCUUGCGCUCCAUGGUAUUCCGUGGAGCAUGCCUGUUUGAGUGUCAUGAAUACUUCAACCCUCCUCUUUCUUAAUGAUUGAAGAGGUGUUUGGAUUCUGAGCGCUGCUGGCCUUUAUUGGUCUUAGCUCGUUCGUAAUGCAUUAGCAUCCGCAAUCGAACUUUCGGAUUGACUUGGCGUAAUAGACUAUUCGCUGAGGAAUUCUAGUCUUCGGACUAGAGCCGGGUUGGAUUAAAGGAAGCUUCUAAUCACAAUGUCUACAUUUAAGAUUAGAUCUCAAAUCAGGUAGGACACCCGACCCAU
RNAcentral lists this ribosomal RNA (579 nucleotides) under Rhodotorula mucilaginosa. Its description in RNAcentral is "eukaryotic LSU rRNA". The stretch from base 170 to 323 matches the Rfam family "5.8S ribosomal RNA". The record is from RNAcentral. Lineage: Eukaryota; Fungi; Basidiomycota; Microbotryomycetes; Sporidiobolales; Sporidiobolaceae.